This 128-nucleotide ribosomal RNA is filed under the name uncultured eukaryote. RNAcentral describes it as "partial small subunit ribosomal RNA". It matches the Rfam family "Eukaryotic small subunit ribosomal RNA", at positions 1651 to 1777 of the family's 1831-position model. The record is from RNAcentral.
CCCUGCCAUUUGUACACACCGCCCGUCGCUACUACCGAUUGAACGUUUUAGUGAGGUACUUGGACUGGAGCUUCGGAGGUUUCGGCCUCCGUGGCAUCCGGGAAGAUUCCCAAACUUGAGCGUUUAGA